UACGUAGGGGGCAAGCGUUAUCCGGAUUUACUGGGUGUAAAGGGAGCGUAGACGGCUUAGCAAGUCUGAAGUGAAAGCCCGGGGCUCAACCCCGGGACUGCUUUGGAGACUGUUAAGCUGGAGUGCUGGAGAGGUAAGCGGAAUUCCUAGUGUAGCGGUGAAAUGCGUAGAUAUUAGGAGGAACACCAGUGGCGAAGGCGGCUUACUGGACAGUAACUGACGUUGAGGCUCGAAAGCGUGGGGAGCAAACAGG
This 253-nucleotide ribosomal RNA is filed under the name uncultured bacterium. RNAcentral's name for it is "partial 16S ribosomal RNA". It matches the Rfam family "Bacterial small subunit ribosomal RNA", at positions 524 to 776 of the family's 1533-position model. The record is from RNAcentral.